RNAcentral lists this ribosomal RNA (253 nucleotides) under uncultured bacterium. Its description in RNAcentral is "partial 16S ribosomal RNA". It matches the Rfam family "Bacterial small subunit ribosomal RNA", at positions 524 to 776 of the family's 1533-position model. The record is from RNAcentral.
UACGUAGGGUGCUAGCGUUACUCGGAAUCACUGGGCGUAAAGGGUGCGUAGGCGGGUCUUUAAGUCAGGGGUGAAAUCCUGGAGCUCAACUCCAGAACUGCCUUUGAUACUGAGGAUCUUGAGUUCGGGAGAGGUGAGUGGAACUGCGAGUGUAGAGGUGAAAUUCGUAGAUAUUCGCAAGAACACCAGUGGCGAAGGCGGCUCACUGGCCCGAUACUGACGCUGAGGCACGAAGGCGUGGGGAGCAAACAGG